UCCUACGGGCGCAGCAGUAGGGAAUAUUGCUCAGUGGGGGAAACCCUGAAGCAGCAACGCCGCGUGGAGGAUGAAGGUUUUCGGAUUGUAAACUCCUUUUGUUAGAGAAGAUAAUGACGGUUUCUAACGAAUAAGCACCGGCUAACUCCGUGCCAGCAGCCGCGGUAAUACGGAGGGUGCAAGCGUUACUCGGAAUCACUGGGCGUAAAGAGCGCGUAGGCGGGAUAGCAAGUCAGAUGUGAAAUCCUAUGGCUUAACCAUAGAACUGCAUUUGAAACUGUUAUUCUAGAGUAUGGGAGAGGUAG
RNAcentral lists this ribosomal RNA (305 nucleotides) under uncultured bacterium. RNAcentral describes it as "bacterial SSU rRNA". It matches the Rfam family "Bacterial small subunit ribosomal RNA", at positions 337 to 660 of the family's 1533-position model. The record is from RNAcentral.